UUGUAAUAUCUCUUGCAUUUUUAGUAUCGGCUGUGUGGAGACCAAUUAGUUUAUUUUCUAUCUUCAUACUGUUCCAUCUUAGGUAUUAACCGAUCCCAGUCACCUGGUCUAGCAGGUCAGGAUCUGGAUCAACAUGUUCGAAACAAACGUCAUCUGGAAGUUGAUAACGUGGAAGCCAGAUUUCUCUCCUCUAGUCUAAUGGAUGGAGGAGGAAACUCACGUGGUCUAGCAAACACGUGCUGCAGGCAGAGAUGCUCACUUCGUCACCUGAUUAACUUCUGCUGAACAUCAGCUGAUAAAAUUCUGCUGAACAUCAACUGAUAUAAUUAUGCUUAAUAUCAGCUGAUAAACUUCUGCUAAACAUCAGCUGAUUAACUUCUGCUGAACAUCAGCUGAUUAUACUUCUGCUGAAUAUCAGCUAAUCAACUUCUGCUGAAAAUCAGCUGAUUAACAUUUGUUGAACAUCAGCUGAUUAACAUUUGUUGAACGUCUGCUAAUUAACAUUUGUUGAACAUCAGCUCAUAAGUUGCACCUAAACAUCAGCGGAUUAGUUUCUGCUGAACAAUAGCUGAUUACUUCCAGCCGAAAACAGUUGAUUCGUAAAAUGAUUGAUUUCUGCUGAACAUCUGGUGAUUAUAAACUCCAGCUGAACAUCAGCUUAUUAGCUUCUGCUGAACAUCAGCUGCUUAGCUUCUGCUGGCCCUCAGCUGAUUAGUUUUUGCUUAAUAUCUUCUGAUGUAUUUCAUCUGAACAUCAGCUAAUUAGUUUCAGCUAAACAUCACUGAUUAGCUCCUGCUGAUCAUCAGCUGAUUAGUUUUGCAUAAUAUCAGCUGAUUAAUUUCUCCAUUAUCCAACUAAUUAUUUUCUCUAAUACAUCAGUAUAAAUGUGUAGAUGUGUUGUGUGAAAAUCGACCUAAAAAUAAACUGAAUUUGUUUUUAAAAAUAACAGAUUAAUUGAACAUA
Molecule: long non-coding RNA, 963 nt
Organism: Eurytemora carolleeae
Lineage: Eukaryota; Metazoa; Arthropoda; Copepoda; Calanoida; Temoridae
Exons: 3
Source: RefSeq, a predicted model, not a curated record